This is a long non-coding RNA of Homo sapiens (human), 434 nucleotides long. RefSeq lists it as uncharacterized. The record is from RefSeq and is a predicted model, not a curated record. NCBI's taxonomy places the organism in Eukaryota, Metazoa, Chordata, Mammalia, Primates, Hominidae. The transcript has 3 exons.
UACACAGGUUAAGAAUUCAAAUAGGUCAUAAUGAGGAUGGUUUUUCCCUGCUCCAUGAUACCUGGGGCCUAAGAGGGAUGACUCCAAGCCUGGAGGCUAAAAUUAUUUGGUUCUCAUUUCUUCAAAAGAAUGCUGGCUUGCAGUGGGAAUGAAGGGCCUCAUUUACUUUCUACCUGGGCCCCUACCUGUGAACUCACCAUGCCCCCUCCCUAACAGGAUGGUGCUUGGAUUCCAAGGGCUCACCUCUCAUGUUUACAUACAUCAUGAGUGGCAUCAAGUCAUAUCCUUGACUUUAGGAUAUCUGAACCUUUGGAAAUUGUAACUAGAAGUCUUAAAACAUUAGCUACGUAUUGAUUCUCUCACCUUCAGAAAAAUGGAAUGUCCUCUUUCAUAAGAGGUGGAGUUUUCCCAUGUUGCCCAUGCUGGUCUGGAAC